RNAcentral lists this transfer RNA (85 nucleotides) under Felis catus (domestic cat). It matches the Rfam family "tRNA". From Rfam's summary of the family: Transfer RNA (tRNA) molecules are approximately 80 nucleotides in length. The record is from Rfam by way of RNAcentral. Lineage: Eukaryota; Metazoa; Chordata; Mammalia; Carnivora; Felidae.
GCCUGGGUGGCUCAGUCGGUUGAGCGUCUGACUUCGGCUCAGGUCAUGAUCUUGUGGUUCUUGGGUUUGGGCCCCGACUCGGGCU